Daphnia magna is the source of this 1304-nucleotide long non-coding RNA. RefSeq lists it as uncharacterized. The transcript has 5 exons. Lineage: Eukaryota; Metazoa; Arthropoda; Branchiopoda; Diplostraca; Daphniidae. The record is from RefSeq and is a predicted model, not a curated record.
UUAAUUGACUACAUUUUGCAUAAUAAUCCAUCACAAUAACGCUUUUGGCGUAGAUUAGGAUUAAGAAGGGCUAGUAGGUUAUUCCACGCAAAUUCUUGUAUUACGUUCAGCUCAUCCCUAUUGAGUCAACAAUGAAGUAGGUGUGAGGAUCGAACUCACGUCUCUUCACAGAGACCAGAACUUAAGUCUGGCGCCUUAACCACUCGGCCAACCUGGUGAUAUUUAAUUGACUAUAGCCUACUUUGCAUAAUUAUAUAUUACAAUAAAGCACUUUGUGUAGAUCUGGAUUAAGAAGCGCAAGCAAAUUCAUGUGUUACGUACUGUUCAUCCCUGUUGAGUCAAUAAUGAAAUAGUUUGUACCAGGUGUGAGGAUCGAACUCACGUCUCUUUACAGAGACCAGAACUUAAAUCUGGCGCCUUAACCACUCGGCCAACCUGAUCUGGAUUAGGAAGCGCAAGCAAAUUCAUGAGUUACGUACCGUUCAUCCCUGUUGAGUCAAUAAGGAAAUAGGUGUGAGGAUCGAACUCACGUCUCUUUACAGAGACCAGAACUUAAGUCUGGCGCCUUAACCACUCGGCCAACCUGGUAGGUAUAUCGUCAUGACAUCCUAGCGAAUUUGUUUAUCAGUCCAUCUUAAAUGUUAAGAAAUUACGUUAGGGCUAUUUUCAAUUAGAUUAAUACAUUUGAUUGUAAUUUGCCGUGAACAUUCCAGAGCAAAAUGGCUGUCGGAUUCGUGAGGCCAUGUCAUAAAUGAAACUGCAUAUUACUUAAUUGAUUGGAAAUACUACGGGAAGACGGCCAAUAUGGGCACUUGCACGGGGACGAACGCGACCAAAAUCUAAACAUCAGUAAACAAAAACGAUAAAAAAUAGGCCAUGUUUGUGAUUUUAAAACUUUCGGAUUUUUGUUAUGUAAGUCAGUGAAAAAGCUCAUAGGUUUCCGUAGCAACAUCAACAAAAUAGGAAGUUUUCCUAUUGUAAAAUCAGUGAUAGUCAUAUAAGAGCCAGCUCGUCGCCUAGAUACCACUUUAACAACUUUAUUUUCAAUAUAGGAAUUGUUUAAGCACAAUAGACAGAGGUAAUAAUUCACCAGGUCUACAGCGUAUUCGUUUCCGCCAUCGUAUUGUAUGGGUUUUGCAUAUUGGAGGAACUAUAGCCGAAUAAAAGCCAGGUGCCGGUGUUCUCAUGGUGCGGGAUUGCGUGACUCGAAACCACAAUAAGCUCAUUUUAAAGUUCAAAUAGUCAGCUGCCAUACGUUUUUGACAGACAGCAUUAUACUCAAAUAUACGGUUAAACAUUAAGCA